CCCUUAGAUGUUCUGGGCCGCACGCGCGCUACACUGACGAAGUCAGCGAGCAUCUCCUUCGCCGAAAGGUGCGGGGAAUCUUGUGAAACUUUGUCGUGCUGGGGAUUGAUUUUUGAAAUUCUUGAUCAUCAACGAGGAAUUCCUAGUAAGCGCAAGUCAGCAGCUUGCGUUGAUUACGUCCCUGCCCUUUGUACACACCGCCCGUCGCUCCUACCGAUUGAAUGCUCAGGUGAGCCAUUCGGACUUUCAUCAUGCUGGUUUCCAGUUUUGAUGAAGGAAAGUCUUGCGAACCUUAUCAUUUAGAGGAAGGAGAAGUCGUAACA
This 323-nucleotide ribosomal RNA is filed under the name uncultured eukaryote. Its description in RNAcentral is "partial 18S ribosomal RNA". It matches the Rfam family "Eukaryotic small subunit ribosomal RNA", at positions 1470 to 1796 of the family's 1831-position model. The record is from RNAcentral.